ACUCCUGCGGGAGGCAGCAGUGGGGAAUUUUGGACACUGGGCGAAAGCCUGAUCCAGCCAUGCCGCGUGCAGGAUGAAGGCCUUCGGGUUGUAAACUGCUUUUGUACGGAACGAAACGGCCUUUUCUAAUAAAGAGGGCUAAUGACGGUACCGUAAGAAUAAGCACCGGCUAACUACGUGCCAGCAGCCGCGGUAAUACGUAGGGUGCAAGCGUUAAUCGGAAUUACUGGGCGUAAAGCGUGCGCAGGCGGUUAUGUAAGACAGUUGUGAAAUCCCCGGGCUCAACCUGGGAACUGCAUCUGUGACUGCAUAGCUAGAGUACGGUAGAGGGGGAUGGAAUUCCGCGUGUAGCAGUGAAAUGCGUAGAUAUGCGGAGGAACACCGAUGGCGAAGGCAAUCCCCUGGACCUGUACUGACGCUCAUGCACGAAAGCGUGGGGAGCAAACAGGAUUAGAAACCCCUGUAGUCCCAUG
This 473-nucleotide ribosomal RNA is filed under the name uncultured organism. RNAcentral describes it as "partial 16S ribosomal RNA". It matches the Rfam family "Bacterial small subunit ribosomal RNA", at positions 335 to 799 of the family's 1533-position model. The record is from RNAcentral.